GUUGUCAUGCCAAUGGCAUUGCCCAGUAGCUACGUUCGGACGGGAUAACCGCUGAAAGCAUCUAAGCGGGAAGCCUCUUCCAAGAUUAGUUUUCCCUGGGGGUUUAACCCCCCUGAAGGGCCGUUCAAGACUAGGACGUUGAUAGGUUGGGUGUGGAAGCGCUGCGAGGCGUUGAGCUAACCAAUACUAAUUGCCCGUGAGGCUUGACCAUAUAACGCAAG
This 221-nucleotide ribosomal RNA is filed under the name Porticoccaceae bacterium. RNAcentral describes it as "partial 23S ribosomal RNA". It matches the Rfam family "Bacterial large subunit ribosomal RNA", at positions 2720 to 2925 of the family's 2925-position model. The record is from RNAcentral. Lineage: Bacteria; Pseudomonadati; Pseudomonadota; Gammaproteobacteria; Cellvibrionales; Porticoccaceae.